CAGAUUCUGCAGGCCUAGACUGCAGUCCUGGGUGAGCAUGGCGGGGACAGGUGCAUCCCAAGGAAACAUACCCCUGGAAUCCUGGAGACGUUCCAGAUCACCUUCCAUGGGAUCUGCUUCAUACGUGUCACCGACACGAUAAUCUGGAAUAGAGAAAAGCAGAAAUGCUAUGCAAUAUUCCUUGCUGCACCAUUUACCCAUCAAGUUUGCUGUGCUCCAGGCCCUCUGUGCUCAGUGGGCACAGCUCUCCCCUUUAGGAUGUCCCUCUCUGCUCCAUGGUGGGAUGCCUGGUGAAGCUGGAAAGCCAUCAUUUCAAAGGGAACAGAGUCGAUGUAAGAGCCUGUUUUUUCCCUGGCAGACCCACCAUCCAACACUGCUUUCCAGGCAGCUUUAAGAGUUUGUUUCCCCUCUGCUUCGCUCAGUGCCCAACCUACCUGGACUAAGUGCUUCCCACGCAACAUUGCGGGGUCGCCCAUGACAUGGAGUCACAAGGAAAAGGAGAAGGAAGAGCAAAAAGCAACACCUGGGAGCAAUUCUCUCCCGUAGUUGCCCCAUGCUACCUCUCGUCCACAACCAGCAAGGCACCCUCCUUUGGAGGCUUGAGGCAAGACUGGUCAACUGGUACCUCCUGGCGUGACAUAGUAUGGGGUUCCUGAACAUCACCAUGAUGCCCAUUAUGACCUCACAAAGCACCUCUUGAGGCACACCUUGAGGCAAGAAAACUCUGCUCGGCCUUUCUGAGUUAGAAAUUCUUUAGCACCUUAUUAAGAUGUAAGUUUCCAAAGAAGGCCCGUUGUUUUAGUAUUCCUGCAGAGUUGGUUAGGAUGUGCAAUACUGUCUUUAUACUCAGCUGUACACAUUGAAGGAAUCUCAAGCUUCACCGCAGACUGAAGUGUAUCAGGAUGCAAAACAACAGAAGUCCCACUGAUCCCAUCCCCUGACAAAUAUAGCUAUGUUUCCUGUGCAGAAUAAUACAGCCUAAGUGUGACUUCUGUAUUUAAAACGCAGACCAAGUAGGACUACAGUAUUAAUGUGUGCUGCUUUAUGCAUGUCACGGGUUAAGCGAAAAUCUACCUGUGCCAGUGACGGGGGGACAGCUGGCCUGCAGGUUUGCUGGCCCAAAAGGAAAGGGAAAAAAGGGGAAUUAGAAAAGAGAACAGAGGCAACAAUCUAAGGAGGCACACUUAUUUACUAAAUUCUAUAUCGAAAUACAGGAUAACACAAUAUAAUACAAUAUAACUAAAAUUAAGGCUAAUGAAUCAA
RNAcentral lists this long non-coding RNA (1263 nucleotides) under Coturnix japonica (Japanese quail). RNAcentral describes it as "lncRNA (ENSCJPG00005002179.1)". Lineage: Eukaryota; Metazoa; Chordata; Aves; Galliformes; Phasianidae. The record is from RNAcentral.